This 253-nucleotide ribosomal RNA is filed under the name uncultured bacterium. RNAcentral describes it as "partial 16S ribosomal RNA". It matches the Rfam family "Bacterial small subunit ribosomal RNA", at positions 524 to 776 of the family's 1533-position model. The record is from RNAcentral.
UACGAAGGGGGCUAGCGUUGUUCGGAUUUACUGGGCGUAAAGCGUAUGCAGGCGGAUCGUUAAGUCGGGGGUGAAAUCCCGAGGCUCAACCUCGGAACUGCCUUCGAUACUGGCGAUCUUGAGUCCGGGAGAGGUGAGUGGAACUCCGAGUGUAGAGGUGAAAUUCGUAGAUAUUCGGAAGAACACCAGUGGCGAAGGCGGCUCACUGGCCCGGUACUGACGCUGAGAUACGAAAGCGUGGGGAGCAAACAGG